This 417-nucleotide ribosomal RNA is filed under the name uncultured bacterium. RNAcentral describes it as "bacterial SSU rRNA". It matches the Rfam family "Bacterial small subunit ribosomal RNA", at positions 349 to 782 of the family's 1533-position model. The record is from RNAcentral.
CAGCAGCGAGGAAUAUUGCGCAAUGGGCGAAAGCCUGACGCAGUAACGCCGCGUGAGGGAGGAAGACCUUCGGGUUGUAAACCUCUUUUUGUAGAGACGAGCGAGGACGGUAUCUAUAGAAUAAGUCUCGGCUAACUACGUGCCAGCAGCCGCGGUAAGACGUAGGAGGCGAGCGUUAUCCGGAAUCACUGGGCGUAAAGCGCAUGUAGGCGGCUGUACAAGUCGUGUGUUAAAGCCCUUGGCUCAACUGGGGGAGGUCAUGCGAGACUGUGCGGCUAGAGGGCAGGAGAGGCACGUGGAACUCCCGGUGUAGCGGUGGAAUGCGUAGAGAUCGGGAAGAACAUCAGUGGCGAAGGCGACGUGCUGGGCUGCACCUGACGCUGAGAUGCGAAAGUGUGGGGAGCAAACGGGAUUAGA